RNAcentral lists this ribosomal RNA (626 nucleotides) under uncultured bacterium. Its description in RNAcentral is "bacterial SSU rRNA". It matches the Rfam family "Bacterial small subunit ribosomal RNA", at positions 286 to 916 of the family's 1533-position model. The record is from RNAcentral.
GCGGGACUGAGAGGUUGACCCGCCACAUCGGGACUGAGACACUGCCCGGACCUCCACGGAGGGCUGCAGUAACGAAUAUUGCGCAAUGGGCGAAAGCCUGACGCAGCGACGCCGCGUGUAGGACGAAGCCCCUCGGGGUGUAAACUACUGUCAGGGGUUAGAAAGUCGGAGCAAUCCGAUUGAUCAGCCCCAGAGGAAGUCACGGCUAACUUCGUGCCAGCAGCCGCGGUAAUACGAAGGUGGCUAGCGUUGUUCGGUGUCACUGGGCUUAAAGCGCUCGUAGGCGGGACCGUAAGUGUUUUGUGAAAUCCCCCGGCUCAACCGGGGAAUGGCAGGGCAUACUGCGGUCCUUGAGGCAAACAGGGGUGCAUGGAACUCUUGGUGGAGCGGUGGAAUGCGUAGAUAUCAAGAGGAACGCCGAUGGUGAAGACAAUGCACUGGGUUUGUCCUGACGCUGAGGAGCGAAAGCGUGGGGAGCAAACAGGAUUAGAUACCCUGGUAGUCCACGCCCUAAACGAUGUUUACUAGGUUGUAGAGGAUCUGACGCCUUUACAGUCGGAGCAAAAGUGUUAAGUAAACCGCCUGGGGAGUACGGUCGCAAGGCUAAAACUUAAAGGAAUUGACGG